AUUGAACGCUGGCGGCAUGCUUUACACAUGCAAGUCGAACGGUAACAGGUUAAGCUGACGAGUGGCGAACGGGUGAGUAAUGCAUCGGAACGUGCCCGAUCGUGGGGGAUAACGCAGCGAAAGCUGCGCUAAUACCGCAUACGAUCUGAGGAUGAAAGCGGGGGACCGUAAGGCCUCGCGCGAUCGGAGCGGCCGAUGUCAGAUUAGGUAGUGGGUGGGGUAAAGGCUCACCAAGCAAACGAUCUGUAGCUGGUCUGGGAGGACGACCAGCCACACUGGGACUGAGAAACGGCCCAGACUCCUACGGGAGGCAGCAGUGGGGAAUUUUGGACAAUGGGCGAAAGCCCGAUCCAGCAAUGCCGCGUGCAGGAAGAAGGCCUUCGGGUUGUAAACUGCUUUUGUACGGAGCGAAAAGGCCCUCUCUAAUACAGUGGGCUCAUGACGGUACCGUAAGAAUAGGCACCGGCUAACUACGUGCCAGCCGCCGCUGUAA
RNAcentral lists this ribosomal RNA (493 nucleotides) under uncultured bacterium. Its description in RNAcentral is "partial 16S ribosomal RNA". It matches the Rfam family "Bacterial small subunit ribosomal RNA", at positions 29 to 523 of the family's 1533-position model. The record is from RNAcentral.